UUGUUUUCGGACAUUUUAGGCGCGUCUUUCGCUCAUUCACUGCAGUUAACACGAGCCGGACUGCCUCAGAUAAUCUUAUAUAAAAUCCUAACAAAAUUAUGAUGUCUACAAAACCAAAAUGAUGUAACCAAAAUCUUUCAAUUAGUUUGACAAUAGAACUGUCAGUUGUGGAUGCAAAUGGUAACGUGUUCGCAUAACGGGGUAAUCGGUUUCUUAAAAUUUCAAAGCUGCCAACCCACUACGGACUUUUAAUUAUAAUGGAAAUAUGAAUAUGUAUAUGUUAAUUUUUAUGUAUUUUGUAUGAUGAAAUAAUAAAUUAAUUCAUUUAUAUGCAUAUUAA
Long non-coding RNA from Bactrocera neohumeralis, 340 nucleotides. RefSeq lists it as uncharacterized. The record is from RefSeq and is a predicted model, not a curated record. Lineage: Eukaryota; Metazoa; Arthropoda; Insecta; Diptera; Tephritidae. The transcript has 2 exons.